Molecule: non-coding RNA, 46 nt
Organism: Schistosoma mansoni
Lineage: Eukaryota; Metazoa; Platyhelminthes; Trematoda; Strigeidida; Schistosomatidae
Source: Rfam
GCACUGCUAAGGAGUUCCACAAUAGGACGAAACGGCCGUCCAGUGC